AUGGGCCUUUCUGGAAGCAUUUUUGUUUGUUUCCAAUCAGUGGGCUCAGCAAUGCCUCUGAACUUUAAUACCCUGGCUCAGCACCAUGCUGUUCUCAGAAGCAGGCAAGUUCCUGUCAAUGAUGUCCUUAAGAAACAGUUUCAUCCUGAGAUGGCAAUCGGGAGCGUGCCUUUCAUAGCAUUUGCUGAAGAAGCAAGUGCAAUUCUAGAGGGAGAAGAAAGUGCAACAAUUGAUUUCAAAGACAGAAAUGACACAGAGUUUGAAGAAUCACCAACCCUGCUGCCCACAAGUCUACACAGUGUAACAAAUCUCUUGGAGUUUGGACAACUAAUGACCACAGAAAGUGCAUUUGCCCUGCCGGAAGACAGUGACAAUUCUACAGACAAUGAAGUUAACACAGAAAGUGUUGAUGGUGGACUGGGUGGGGAGCAACCAGAGAAAACUGAGAAAGGUGGUCUGGAAACAAUUGCACUUGUUGGAAUAAUUAUUGGAAUCAUAGUAGGUGUUGGAAUCCUUGCAGGAAUCAUAAUCGCUGUUGUAAGGAAGAUGUCAGGCAGGUACUCGCCCUGAAAAUAGUUGAAAAAGCAACCAAGCCAUUCUAUGCCAGUAAAUACAUAGCAAGUGCUUCUUACUUUAUAAGAACUGAAGACUAUUCCUGUAUUGGUGUGAGAAGAUGAUCCAUGGAAAAUAUGGUUGAAGAAUUCCAGAUCUAUGGGGAUCCCACACAACUCUCCCAAAGACUAUUUUCUACAGACUACAGAAAAUGGAACAUUUGCAUAGGAUUUUUAUUAACCAGGAGUUUACUAGAAGAAUGAAAAAAGAUCAUUCAGUAGGAAAAAACUCCAGCAGCAGCAACAUUUACAUCUGAAAUAUGAUUUGCAG
Molecule: long non-coding RNA, 882 nt
Filed under: Anas platyrhynchos platyrhynchos (common mallard)
Lineage: Eukaryota; Metazoa; Chordata; Aves; Anseriformes; Anatidae
Description: lncRNA (ENSAPLG00000014741.2)
Source: RNAcentral